Molecule: long non-coding RNA, 259 nt
Organism: Hibiscus syriacus
Lineage: Eukaryota; Viridiplantae; Streptophyta; Magnoliopsida; Malvales; Malvaceae
Exons: 3
Source: RefSeq, a predicted model, not a curated record
AAGGUCGAGGCCUCUUAGAUGAUCAACCAACCAAGUUACUCGUGCCAAUUAACGGACUGCAUCCUCCCCUCCCGUCAAGCUACUUUGGCAAUGUGUUUUUGACAGCUUCAUCAAUUUCUGUGUCUGGAAAUCUCCGGUCAGAGCCGUCUGUAGAUACCGUAGAGCGAGUUUAUGGAGCAUUGCAAAGGAUGGAGAAUGAAUAUCUAAAAUCAGCUCUUGACUACCUAGAAGCACUGCCACAUAACAGCUUCCAGGAGAU